AAGUAAGGUUGAAACUCAACACACAGUGUGUUGGGUGGCAUUGUUCUCUGGCUCCAAGCAGAUGAGAGUUUCGAUUUCAUCAUUUUGUAACACUGACAAACUGUGAUGCUGGGGUUGGCAGAGUCAGCAGACAGAAUAGGUCUUCCUAACCCUGUGUGUCGAGGCACUGGGACUUUUGUGCACUGUGGCACAAGCGCAGGUUGAAGCUAAAGAACUCUCUCGUGUGAGGCAGUCUAAGGCGUUUGCAUGAAAAAAAAAAAGUCUUUAAAGAGCAAAAGAUCUUUUUCCACUGCACAUCCCACCUCUGCCCCAAGGCAGAGGACAAUGGCGGCUUCCUUCACGGAAGUUAAUGCGAGAGAAUUCUGAGAUUUAACAGAAAAACUUCUCUGUACACUCUGCAGACCUUCACCAGUCUGAUCUAAAAUGAAACCCACAGGAACACUUUUGCCCGGAUUCUUCACUGCUAUUCCAGUGGUUGUAUUGUCUUCAGAGUGCAAGCAAAGAGGAGGGAGGGAGGGAGCCUUUCUAGGAGGUAAUGGUGGAAGGUCCCCCCUCCCCCCCAGGUCCCUCCAUUUUGUCCUACUUCCAGUCAGCACCAUUAGCUUGACAUGGAGGUUUCUCUUGUUCUUAAAACAAUAACAGCAGCAGCAGCAGCAGCAAAAAACCCAACCUCUUUUAGUGGCUUGCUCGUUUGUGCACAAGAUGGGCACCAGGACAUAGGGCUGGAAAACAGCAUAUUUCAUCUGGCAUGGAAACGCAGUGUCUCCCUCUCAGAUAGGUUCCGAUUAUCUCCCUUCUUGGCCUUUGGCUGGGUUUCUGUCCGUAUCUUUUUUGCCUGUGUUCUUUAAGCCAUGACCACCUGCUGUAUGUACAACGUGUGCCUGUUCCAUUUGUUCACUAUCUUCCCUUAUAGAACGUAAAGACCAGCUAUUACAUCGUGUUUACUCAAUAUCAUUCCCCCCCAGUUUUUUUUUAAAAAAAGAAACAACAACCACCC
RNAcentral lists this long non-coding RNA (997 nucleotides) under Mus musculus (house mouse). Its description in RNAcentral is "long non-coding RNA chr18:65579150-65580147". The record is from RNAcentral. Lineage: Eukaryota; Metazoa; Chordata; Mammalia; Rodentia; Muridae.